AACCUUAUGGACCUGCGGGCGUAUACCUGCGGAAGGAUCAUUACACAAUACAAUAUGAAGGCUGUCCGCAGCUGGAGUAUUUUAUUACCCUUGUCUUUUGCGCACUUGUUGUUUCCUGGGCGGGUUCGCUCGCCACCAGGACCACCAAAUAAACCUUUUUUAUGCAGUUGCAAUCAGCGUCAGUACAAACAAUGUAAAUCAUUUACAACUUUCAACAAUGGAUCUCAGAUCGGAAGAGCA
Molecule: unclassified non-coding RNA, 240 nt
Filed under: soil metagenome
Description: partial contains 5.8S ribosomal RNA, internal transcribed spacer 2, and large subunit ribosomal RNA
Source: RNAcentral